UGCUAGGGAAGACAUCUCUAGAAAACAGAGAUGGACGGAGAAGACAGUUCCUGCUCUCAAAGAUCCUGCCACCUAAGUGGGAGAGGCGCUCAGAAAUAGGAAACAAGCACAAACUCUGGAUCCCAGCUGGGCCUCUGGCUCCUGUGUGACCCUGGAGGAGUCACUUAGCUCCGUGCCAGCACCGAGGAAAAGAAAUUGGGAUGUUUGGGUUUCACCCACUUAGUGGAAAGGGUAUUCUCAGCCUCGAUUGCAUGGAAGCUUUCUGGAACCUGGGGCAGAGGCAGGGGGAGGAAGGAGGCAGGCUGGGCUGGGCCACUCCGGGUGGGUCUCCAGGAAUGGCUGCCUCUCCCCAGGGACCCCUGAGGCUUGGGCUCAGCCCUGCCUAUCAAUUGUCCAUCCUGGAAAUAACAGGUCCCCAGUUUUCAGAUUCACACACAGUUGGUCCAGGAGUCAGAUGCCAGCUUGUGUCUAUAUAAUGCAGUGAGAGAGCCUCCCAAAACCUUUGCCCCUUCUCUCCAUCCUGGCCACCACCUAGGCCACUACUGCCCCUCACCUGGACCUCCUCAGCAGCAUGGGGCCUGACCCCUGGUUGAGCGCCACAGAGCCCUUGUCUAUUGAAUGAAUGAGCCCCCUUAUCUGGUCUCCUCUCCCUGGCCAUUGCUUCAACCAGCAGGCUGGAGCCAGACUCAAAUCUGACCCCUUGUAGCUCCUGCUUCAUUUUUCCUUUUUUUUGGACCACACCACACAGCAUGUGGGAUCUUAGUUCCCUGACCCAGAACCGAACCCAUGCCCCCUGCAUUGGAAACCAAUCCUGGAGUCUUAACCACUGGACCAGGAGGAAAGUCCCUAUCUCCAGCUUUAAACCCCUCGGGGCUCCCAUUGCCCUUCCUGGCACCGCCUCCCUCUCCAGUUUCACCUGUCCCCGUCCAUGUCUCUGGGCCUCAGACAUGGCGAAAUUUCUCAAAGGAGCCAGGCCACCCUGUUUAACCCUGCCACGUCCUCCAUGUUCGUUGUUCAGUUGUGUCUGACUUUUUGCAACCCCACGGACUGUAGCCCGCCAGCCUCCUCUGUCCAUGGCAUUCUCCAGGCGUGGCAACCCAUUCCAGUAUUCUUGCCUGGAGGAUCCCAUGGACAGAGAAGCCUGGCAGGCUAUAGUCCACAGGGUCAUACAGAGUCGGACACAACUGAAACGACUUAGCACUAACAGUCCUCUGUUUGGGGUGCCCUUCAUCUCUCAGGGAUGCGUUCUAAGACUUAUGGGAUUAAAGGUAGAUCUCAGCUUCUCCCAGAAGAGUUCCACCGUUACUGGCCCCCACCCCCGCCCCCUCCGCUCUUGGAUCCUGGGUCAGAUGUCCCUCCCCUGAGCCCAGGGCCCCUCCUUCAGCAAGCUGGCUGCUUCAAUGCUGUUCAAACUGCCUGUCUCCUGUUCUGCAGACUCCAAGAGAUGAAGGAGUGGCUUGUUCACCUUGGAUCCAAACCACAAGCUGACCUGCUUGGAAAAGGGCUCAGCUUUUCGGAGUUUACUGAGUCGAGAGUGAGGGAACCAGAAUCCUGGACCCUCCCAUUGUUAACAGUCCCUCUUUUCCCCGGCCAGAGGCCAAAUCAGGAGGUGAGGCUGAUUCCACGAGGGCGAGUCCCUGCAAAGCUGGGUGGAUGAACCUGAGGGACCUUGUCACAAGCUCUGUUGGCCUGGAGAGCAAGGCCUAAGAACAGAACUGGAAGAUGUUGGAAGAAGUAGCAGAGCAGGAGAGGGAGAUGAAGAUGGGAAGGGGCACAGGGCAGGCCUUCCGUGGUGGGCCAGGGAGUUCACCCGCCAGUGCAGCAGGGGACACCGGUUCACCACCUGCUCUGAGAAGAUCCCGCGUGCCUCUGGGCAACUAAGCCCAUGCACCAAAGCUACCAAACCUGUGCACCCUUGAACCUCCCAAACAAGAGAAGCCAUUGCAAUGAAAAGGCCGCGUACCACACCAGAAGUAGGCUGUGUGCUGCAGCAAAGACCCAGCGCACCCAAAACUAAAUUAAAAAAAAAACUUUUUUUAAAGAGCACAAGAUAAGGGGGCAUGGUUGAGCUAGUCUCACUGCAGGCAGUUGGGGCUGGAUCCUGCUGGGACCCCCACCCCCCCGAAGAGCUUGUCCUAUACACCUCAGAAUUGUCCCUCUAAAGGACCAGAGACCUGUGUUUAUCCACCAGUUCCCAACCUUGUUGGUUAUGAAUGGCCCCAAGGACCUAAGUAAAUGUAAAAGCUUUUGCAGGACGAAGGAAACUAUAAGCAAGGUGAAAAGACAACCCUCAGAGUGGGAGGAAAUAAUAGCAAACAAAAUAACAUGACAAAGAAUUAACCCCCAAAAUAUACAAGCAACUCAUGCAACUCAAUACCAGAAAAACAAACAACCCAACUGAAAAGUGUGCAGAAGACCUAAACAGACAUUUCUCCGAAGAAAACAUAUAGAUGG
Molecule: long non-coding RNA, 2454 nt
Organism: Bos taurus (domestic cattle)
Lineage: Eukaryota; Metazoa; Chordata; Mammalia; Artiodactyla; Bovidae
Source: Ensembl